Chaetoceros tenuissimus is the source of this 73-nucleotide non-coding RNA. The record is from the annotation of a GenBank genome assembly. Lineage: Eukaryota; Bacillariophyta; Thalassiosirophyceae; Chaetocerotales; Chaetocerotaceae.
GCACCUUUGGUGUAGUGGUAACAUAAAUGCCUUCCAACAGCAUUUGCCAUGGGUUCGAUUCCCGUAAGGUGCA